UCGUAACAAGGUUUCCGUAGGUGAACCUGCGGAAGGAUCAUUGUCGA
Molecule: ribosomal RNA, 47 nt
Filed under: Ficus fistulosa
Lineage: Eukaryota; Viridiplantae; Streptophyta; Magnoliopsida; Rosales; Moraceae
Description: partial 18S ribosomal RNA
Rfam family: Eukaryotic small subunit ribosomal RNA
Source: RNAcentral